RNAcentral lists this long non-coding RNA (761 nucleotides) under Triticum aestivum (bread wheat). RNAcentral's name for it is "long non-coding RNA (TAES_LNC018166)". Lineage: Eukaryota; Viridiplantae; Streptophyta; Magnoliopsida; Poales; Poaceae. The record is from RNAcentral.
CGUUGGUGGUCAAGCUAGGCGGCGGCGGCGCCAUGGAUCCCGUCGGUGGGCAACCUAGGCGGCGGCGACACCAUGAAUUCCAUCGGUGGCCAGCGGGGAGAGGCUAGCGGGGGCUGCAGCGGAGGUGGCCAACCUAGGCGGCGGCACCACGAAUCCCGUCGAUGGCCAGCGAGGGGAAGCCCAGCGGGGGCCUCAGUGGCCGGUGCCCAAGCUUGGCGCCAGUCUGUUGGACAAGGCCGUGAUGGUCGCCGUCAUAGGAGGUGUGUGGAUCUGACUCCAAUGGCGUCGGCGAGCUCAUCCUCGUUCUCUUGCUCGACGAGGAGGACUUAGUGAGCUCCGACUCUGUUGUCGCCGGUGAGCUCAUCCUCCUCCAAUGGAGUGCAGCCUCUAAUCUUUGAUCCCAUGUAAUUAGCUAGUGAUUCUAAACUACUCGUAUUGUUUAAUAUGUUGUAUAUGGGAUCGACGAAUUUUGUGUUAAUUGUUGUUUUAAUUGAUUAACGUUGUGGUAAACAAAAAUGUUAUGCGAAAUUUAUGUGGUGUUUACACAAUGGCAAUGUUAAUUAGUUAUUAGUUUGGUUCAUCGUGGAUCCCACAUGGUAGUGAGAUGAUAGAGGGAUGGCUUUCUCUGUGAUGGGUCCCACUUUGAAGUGUCUGGUCCAGAGAAAAGUCUGGAGACGGUCAACACACUUGGAUGGAAAUGUGACGGAAGGGCAAAAACAUAAGAUGGGCAAACAGACUUGGGCAAAACCGAGGGUUUACGA